This 30-nucleotide non-coding RNA is filed under the name Rattus norvegicus (Norway rat). The record is from RNAcentral. Lineage: Eukaryota; Metazoa; Chordata; Mammalia; Rodentia; Muridae.
UGCCAUCGCAUUUCAGCAGGUGGAGAGAGU